AAACCUAUCGUUUCUUUUCUGAUUUUCUCCCUCUCCUCUCCUCUCCGAACCACAACAACCGCCACCAUCUUUAUCGUCCCCACCACCAUUCCAGCACCACCUCCAUUUCCUCCACCACCUCCUAAUGCACUAACUCCACCGAUCCCACUACCAAUUCCAGGUACACCUCUGAUACUUCCACUAAAUCCACCAACAGCAUAAUCACCAGCAGAUCGAUCGAUUUUCACUACAAAUCUUAAAUAUAGUCAUGAAUCGGCGAGAAACUAAUCCCGAGCAUCAAAAACAACAUUAGAUUCAUUUCGAUAUCAGCUGGAUUUGGCUUAAAUAACCCAAAAUUGAUGAUCUUAGUUUUUAAAGAAUUGUCCGUAUCAAUUGGAAAGAGAAGAUUCAAUCGUCAUCAAUAAUUGGAUCUGAAGAUUCAAUUGUCAAAGACAAAUCGGAAGAUAGUUUCAGCUGAUGGUGAAAAGAUCGAAAGGGAACGGAAUGGGAUUUUGGUGUCUUCUCUGGAAUCGAAGGCGUGGAAAAUCCAAACCCAAGAAUCUACGAAAUCGCACUUAAGAGAGCUGGAAACAUUCCUGCUUAUAUUGUGCUUAAUUGCAAAAGAGGCAUUAGUGUUUUCUAAGAUUACAGUUUUAAGUCUUCCAAGGAAGUUUGUUCGCAUUCGCUCAAUCUUUCAGGACCUCAAAAUGUGAAGCAGUCGGACAUGAUCUGAAGUUUCCUUACCAAUUAUCAAAGAACAAUUUGUUCCCGUUCAUCUGCAAGAUGGUGCCAAGGUAAAUUGGUAUAAACUCAUAUGCAUUUACCUGAUUUCAGUCACCUCAAUCAUAUUUGGUCAUAUUGGCACUUUUACGAAGUGAAAAGCAUGUCAUUUUGUCACAUUAUAUGUAGGAGAAGUCUUGUAGUUUCAUAGUUCUCCCUGCAGAUCCGUUUGGUAGCCUAUAUGGAACAGUUUUUCUAGUUUUCACAGUUGCGUCCAAAACCUUCUAGCAUCAUGAAAGGGGAUUCUAAAUAAUAUCAUUUUUAUUGGUGGAUCGACUGAUGGUCUUUUAGCUACUGAGUAUUCUUAGUGUAAUUAUAUUUCUUGCUGUAAUUUUACUCGGUAAUAUGUAUUCGAUUCUUUCUUUUGAUGAUUGUAUGAUUUAAGUUUGAAUGUUAGUAUAGCAGUCAGUUAGCUUGAUUGUUCGUGCCAUAGAUACGUACUUCGACUAAAAUUUGUCACCACUGAUUUCCUGAACGAUUUACUAAAAGUUAAUUGUGCUACUGUGGACGGUAUUUUUAUGUUUGGAACUCCUUGCAUACUUGAUUUACUAAAUUAUUAUGAAGUACGACUUCUACUGAUCUGUCAUAAACUAUUGGUUGCAUUAAUUAAUGAGAAUUGUUGCUGUGGUCACAAAUUAUAGGUGACGUAAUGUGUUUUGAGUAGUGGCUUUUGGAUGUGAUAAUGAACUGACAUGUACAACACUUGGUCUGUGUAAAAACCGUUAAUACAGCUCUUGCUUAGGUGAUUUAUAUGGGACUUUUCUGCAUUUGAAUUCAGUAAUGUGGCUGACAAAUUCUAGGGUCCUUAUGUUUUGACAUAUUAUUUUAGUUUACUCAAGUUCCUUUUAUGGAUCUCUGGACUUCAGUUAUUAUGGGGAUCAACAACUGUUGUUGAUCCCAUUUAUGGAUCAACUCCUGUUGU
Molecule: long non-coding RNA, 1681 nt
Organism: Papaver somniferum (opium poppy)
Lineage: Eukaryota; Viridiplantae; Streptophyta; Magnoliopsida; Ranunculales; Papaveraceae
Exons: 3
Source: RefSeq, a predicted model, not a curated record